RNAcentral lists this long non-coding RNA (718 nucleotides) under Salvia miltiorrhiza (redroot sage). Its description in RNAcentral is "long non-coding RNA (SMIL_LNC006319)". The record is from RNAcentral. Lineage: Eukaryota; Viridiplantae; Streptophyta; Magnoliopsida; Lamiales; Lamiaceae.
CGUAUUCAUGUAGUGUCGGGUCCACCAGCUCGAUUUCCUUGUUGUUUUCAUGGAGAUUCCAAGCCUGAUCCAUUCAUUACAAAUCAACCACUACUUCUUAGUGGAGUUACAUGAGUUAGGGCAAAUAGUGUGAUUCUAACCGGACAUUUUGGACUCGUUAUCAAAAUUUAGUAUCCCUAUAUUAUGUGCACUUGGAAGACGAUGUGUAAUGCUGGAAUUGUAUGUGUAUGAGUAUAUUAUGUGUUCCAUGGAUUUGAUUCAAAUCGAAUAUACCAUGCAUAUUAGUAUUUUUGAAAGGUUGAGACAAUUUAGCAACUUAUAUUAAGUUCAUAUAUCAAAAAAGUCCUUAUCAUAAUAAAGUUUAAAAAUAGUUAUACAAAAAAGGAAUAAAAAAAAAAAGAACCACUUUUUGAUUUAAAGUAAAAAUACCUACAAAGAUACUAAAAAAAAGUAUAAAAAUUAAUAACCACUUUUUGGUUUAAAAUAGUGUUUUGCUUUACAUUGGUGAUAUCAAUACUAAACCUAUUCUUGGUCUUGAACUAGGGGUAGAAUAGUAGGAGUUGCUAUUUUUAUAUAGGAGUUUUGGCAAAUAAAAUCACGAACUAUUUCGAGUUUGCAAUUUUAGCGCGACUUUUUGAAGUGUGGCGAAUUAAAUCACCACCUUUUCAAUUUUUGCAAUUUCGUCCCCCAUUUUUUUUUCGUCGCUAGAGUGUUGAUU